Molecule: unclassified non-coding RNA, 3133 nt
Filed under: Leishmania donovani
Lineage: Eukaryota; Euglenozoa; Kinetoplastea; Trypanosomatida; Trypanosomatidae
Description: gene:LdHU3.28.2500(CDS-product:Putative_GTPase_ac tivating_protein_for_Arf_putative)
Source: RNAcentral
UUUCGCUACUCUCCUUCCUUGGCUGCAGUUUGGUGACAGCCCUCGUAUCACCACACUGCCGCCGACUGACCAUCCUUCUCCCCCCUCCCUCCCUGAGCCCCUCCUUUCCCUAGCUUUAGAUCUCCUGCUCCUGUGUCCUCUGCAUAGUCUCGUGUGUCCAUCUCCCAUUUCGCAUCACACGGAUACGCGCCACGGCACGGAUAAGGUGUAGCGCAUCGUCGCGGUCUUCGACCCCUGCCAUUCCACAGCGCUUCUUCCCAAUAAAGGAAAGCCGCUGCAGCAGCACCGUCGGCCCCUAGCACUGUCCAGUGCCUUCUGCCCGAAUGCAAACCUACACGCCCACGUCAGCUUUCAUUCACCAUCAUCUUGCGUCUCAGCAUCCCUCAACGUGCUUCUACCGGUGCUCCUUGUACAGGGUCUACACCACAAGUGGAACAGGAGAGCGUGGCGCGCCCACCCGCCGAGUCGUACGGGCAUACACGCCAUUGAAAAACUCUCGGUGCUUCUGUAUGAUAGCACAGUAUGCCAACUAGUUUCCGACACUACGAACCGGAGGAGCGGGGCGGGUACGCGCCCAGCGCGAGCAACAACGGUGCCGAGUUUGGCGGUUCCGAAACAAGGUACUCGACCAAGACGCGUUCAAUCAACGCCGCUGCGUCGAGAACUGGUACGGGCCGUGCGGGUGUGCCGGCGCAGCAGCUGCAGCGCUUCGAUGCCUUGCUGCGUCUUCCGGAAAAUCGCGAGUGCUUCGACUGUGGUACGAAGCAGCCGCGUUGGGCGAGCACCAACCUUGGUAUUUUCUUCUGCCUCCGCUGCGCCGGUAUCCACCGCUCUAUGGGCACGCACGUAUCGAAAGUGAAGUCGGUAAACAUGGAUGCCUGGGUGGAGUCUAUGAUGCUCGUGGUAGAGCACAUCGGCAACGCGCGAGGACGACUCUUGUACGAGUACAACAUGCCACCGUCGGCACGCGUGACCAACACGACCGAAACCGCCGUGGUCGAGCGCGUGAUUCGCUCCAAGUAUGAGCGGAAGUUGUACUACCACCCCCGCUUUGCAGAGCUCGUUGCACAAUUUAUGGAGACCCCGAUGGAGGCGGCAAGCAGCAGCGGGACCACCACUUUAGCGUCUUCUCCGGGAUCGAACGCGCCACCGUGCCAAGCUGGCGAGCCGGGGCAGACGCAGCCGCAGGGCGCCGUGCUCGAGGAGCUCUGGGGCGCGCCCGUGUCUUCACCCAACACGAAUCAACCGAGUCAGGAAGCGACGCAGGGGGCGACGGGGGCCCGCACAAACGUUGCGGAGCUCUUCUCCGCCUAUCCGACUCAUGGCGCCGGUAUGGGCUAUGCGGCGGCUGGAGGCGGUGCCCACUCGCCGCCUACGGCGUGGGGGGAAACGGCGGGGCCGCUGUCGUCGGCGCCACCGGUGAGCGCAAACAACGACUCGGGCUGGUUCGAAUCGCAGUUUGGUGGGGCGGCAAGCAUUGUACUCGGCCCCGCCAGCGGCGGCGCUCACAGCGGGGCGCCGUUGCCGAACACACUGCAGUCGGCGUCGAGCCCGCAGACAGCGCACGAUAACACAGGCGACCUGUUCACCGGCGGCAACGAGAGCGCGGGCUGCAGCAAAGACGAGAUUCUCUCUCUCUUCCGCACCGCACCCGUCGCUGGGGCGUAUGGGCAGACGAGCAGCGGUUCUACGGCAAACACGGGCGGGCAUCCGUUGGCGUGGUAGUCACAGACGGUGAAGCCGCGCUACCCCGAGUAAGAGAAGGGCUUCAUCACAUCUCGUGGGAGAAAACGAGACAGGCAACGAAAAAGGCGGCCGCUGCACGCAUCCACGGGGUUCCAUCUGGCUUGUCUGUGUGUACGCAUGCGCGUUUAUGUGUGUGAGGUCGUGCGGUAGUGCAAUCAAGCAGAGAGCGAGAGGGCAGAGAGAGGGCGAUGGCGCCUCUUUCUCACAUAUACAGACACAUACAUCUGAGUUUGGUUUUCUCAUUUUACGGUUGCUUUUGAUGACCGUUCCAUGUACCGAUCCGGAUCUCUCUCUCUCUGCGCUUCGCUUGUUGCUCGUCUCUCUCUUUCUUUGAGGUUGAGCUUGCGUUCCGCGACGUGGGCACGUGUCCCGGCGCUUUUUGCGUGCUUCCCUAUCCGUCUCUCAUCAUCACUAUGCGUGUUGGGCUAAGCGCUGCGUUGCGUCAGCUGGGAAAGGAGCACAUACGCUCUUCCCCCAUCUUUGCGUUUUUGCUUAUAUGUGUGUGUGUGUGCGUGUGCGCUCCUCUCCGUGCGCGCUCUCUCACGUGCUCUCUUAUGCCAAACUUCUGCAGAGGGCACGGGGUCGUCAGUGAUGUCCUGCAGGCACAGGCUCCUUCCUCCUCCACUCUUGUUUUCGUUCCAAGUCCUACGUUCCACGUGCGUGCGUGUGCGUGUGCGUGUGCGCAGCUGCUCUUUGCUCCUGCCAACGUGUAUGUAGAAGGCGGGUGUGCAUGUCCGUGAGUGUGAAUGCGAUGCUGUGCUGUCUAUGCCGGUUGCCGAUGUGGACGAUUCGGCUUCGUCUCCUCUUGCGCGCCUCCUCUCCGCCCUCCCUCUUUCGUCCGUUAGUUUGCGCUCGCUGCUCGUGGUAGUUGUCAGCAUCGUCGUCUCGGUUGAUGGUUCGGCCCAUCGCGUGGUUCUUAACGCGUUGGCGAAGCGAAACGAAACGCAUCGUUGCUCUUGUUUUGUGUUCUCGCUUCCACUAUGUGCUCCAUCUCCAUCUCCGCCCUCCUUCUGUGUGUGCCUGUUUCCGUGUGUGUGUGUGUGUAUGUGUGUGUGUGUGUAUGUGUGUGAUUGCGUGUGCGUCUCUACGUAUGCCAUUCUCGCUCGCUCCUUCUUUUCCCCUCUUCUGCCACGUCUCUUCGUGGAACGCGACCACACCGAGCACCCACCCCGUCUUCUGCCUUUCUUCCGUGCUUUCUCUCCCUGCCUCCAGCCACUGCCUUCACAGUGGUGUCUCUCUUCCUCUUUGUGUGCACGCUCAUUGUGUAGCCGUUGUUGUGUGCCCUGUACUCCUCGCAUCUCCUCCGCUGCAGUCGUCGACACCCAUUCUCUCUCUCUACCUGUUCCGCUCUUCUCUUACGUUUACAUCAUUAUGGUACCGUGAAAAG